Molecule: transfer RNA, 68 nt
Filed under: Marmota marmota marmota (Alpine marmot)
Lineage: Eukaryota; Metazoa; Chordata; Mammalia; Rodentia; Sciuridae
Also listed under: 1 other name
Rfam family: tRNA
About the family: Transfer RNA (tRNA) molecules are approximately 80 nucleotides in length.
Source: Rfam by way of RNAcentral
GUGGUGGCUCAGUGGUAGAGCACUUGUCUUGCACGUAUGAGGCACUGGGUUCAAUUCUCAGCACCACA